AACGCCUACGGGUCCUCCCGUCGCACCUCAAUCGCACUGCCCACGCGCGCGCCCCACGACGCCACUGUCUUCGCCAACCACCGCGCAGGCAGUGACAACUCUUUUUCCCAGCCUCACUAGUAGUGUGCCCCGGCAAAGCCGCUAGCCCCGCACAUGCUCGCGUCGUAUCACUCACCCUAUCAUCUCACUUAUAGCGCCCUCACCUAUAGUGCCCUUCCCUCCCUCCUGUCCACCAAUACCAAGCCGCCGCACCAAAUCUGGCGCUUGAAGCGACCAAACACGCACUCGACCCUGCCAAUCC
This 301-nucleotide long non-coding RNA is filed under the name Setaria viridis. RNAcentral describes it as "long non-coding RNA (SVIR_LNC000690)". The record is from RNAcentral. Lineage: Eukaryota; Viridiplantae; Streptophyta; Magnoliopsida; Poales; Poaceae.